Molecule: unclassified non-coding RNA, 1015 nt
Filed under: Hevea brasiliensis (rubber tree)
Lineage: Eukaryota; Viridiplantae; Streptophyta; Magnoliopsida; Malpighiales; Euphorbiaceae
Source: RNAcentral
AGGUGUGCCUUUAAUAACUAUGCUGGGUUGGGUUAUAUUUGCAUCCGCAUUUGUCCAUACUUGUAGACAAGCUCACCUUGCCAUUGUGCUCCACGUUCCACACCUCUACUUGAUUUAGUGCCCAUGUCGUGCCACUUCAACGCCACGUCAUUUGGCAUGUCAGCGACUCCUUAGCUCCAUGACAUUUGACAAGUAGUGCCACCACUUGCCAUGUUAGCACCUGCCAUGUCAGCAAUUUUUGGUAGAAUCCAUCCCCACUAAUUUCAAUGCACUGAUUCUGAUUUUGACAUCCAUUUGAGUUGCAAUAAAUAUUUAAGUUUGAUAAGAAUUUUAAAUUGUGUUUUCAAUAAAACUUGUGCAGUGGAUUGAAAUUAGAAGACUACAUGCUGAAAUGGAUGAUUACAAGUGAAAUUCAAAGAUUGCAAGCUAAAAUCGAUAACUCCAACAUACAACUAGAUGAAGUAUGUUAUUUGAGGUAUUCACAUGGUGGCGUUGUAUAUUGUCCUUCUGACUUAUUUUAUAAAUAUUGAACCAUCAGACAAUUUUAACGAGUUAGGGAGAGAACUCUUAAACAUGGAAGAACAAAUAUAUGUUUCAACUAUGAGUUACGGAGAGAAACUUGAAGCAUGGAAGGACUGUUUGGCUAGGCUAAAAGUAGAACUAGAAGCAAUAUCAAGAGUUCUUGAAGUUUGCUCAGCAAAUCAGCAGGAUGCAAGGCAUGAAGUUGAUAGUGAAGUGCAACUUGAAUAAUCCAAAACUUUGAUUGUUAAACUUGAAGAGUUUGAAGCUUUGAUUAUUGAACAACCUGGAGAAUCCAAAGUUUUGAUUAUUGAGCCUUCACUUAUUGAAAUCCAAGAUGAUAACAUCGAGUUACAAAUAUUUGAGGGAUUAUUCUAGAGAAAGAAGCUAAUAAGAAUAAGCAAGAAGAGUUUGAGCCUUUGAGGACUCAAUCUGGGGAAAGAAGAAAACCAGACCUUUGAUAAGACAAUGGAAAUUGAAGAUUUGGCUAAUUCUU